Molecule: long non-coding RNA, 298 nt
Organism: Pelmatolapia mariae (spotted tilapia)
Lineage: Eukaryota; Metazoa; Chordata; Actinopteri; Cichliformes; Cichlidae
Exons: 3
Source: RefSeq, a predicted model, not a curated record
AUGGAGUGGUUUGUUUUGUCUCGCUUUGACAGUGUGACUGUUCCAGAGAAACUGGAUUGUUUUAUAACCAGAUAUGCAGAGCACAUCCAUGAGAAGUGGUGUAUAGAAAAGUUUUCCAAUGGCUGGUCAUAUGGAGACCAGAUGUGUGAAAUCAGCAAGAACCAUCCACUCCUGAAACCAUACAAAAGCCUGUCUGAAAAGGAUAAAGAGACGUACUGCUGGCCCAUCAGAGAGUCUCUGAAGACCAUGCUUUCAUGGGGUUGGAGCAUUGACAGGAUCAGAGAGGGAGACUCUGUCA